GAUGAACGCUGGCGGCGUGCCUAAUACAUGCAAGUCGAGCGAACAGACGAGGAGCUUGCUCCUCUGACGUUAGCGGCGGACGGGUGAGUAACACGUGGAUAACCUACCUAUAAGACUGGGAUAACUUCGGGAAACCGGAGCUAAUACCGGAUAAUAUAUUGAACCGCAUGGUUCAAUAGUGAAAGACGGUUUUGCUGUCACUUAUAGAUGGAUCCGCGCCGCAUUAGCUAGUUGGUAAGGUAACGGCUUACCAAGGCAACGAUGCGUAGCCGACCUGAGAGGGUGAUCGGCCACACUGGAACUGAGACACGGUCCAGACUCCUACGGGAGGCAGCAGUAGGGAAUCUUCCGCAAUGGGCGAAAGCUUGACGGAGCAACGCCGCGUGAGUGAUGAAGGUCUUCGGAUCGUAAAGCUCUGUUAUUAGGGAAGAACAAAUGUGUAAGUAACUAGGCACGUCUUGACGGUACCGAAUCAGAAAGCCACGGCUAACUACGUG
This 497-nucleotide ribosomal RNA is filed under the name uncultured bacterium. Its description in RNAcentral is "partial 16S ribosomal RNA". It matches the Rfam family "Bacterial small subunit ribosomal RNA", at positions 28 to 507 of the family's 1533-position model. The record is from RNAcentral.